Molecule: long non-coding RNA, 474 nt
Filed under: Musa acuminata (dwarf banana)
Lineage: Eukaryota; Viridiplantae; Streptophyta; Magnoliopsida; Zingiberales; Musaceae
Description: long non-coding RNA (MACU_LNC004037)
Source: RNAcentral
UGGCGUGGGAGUGGAACCACAUGUCGAUGCACUCGAUGUGGAAGCGGUGGCCGCACCUCGGGAGGGCCCGCAUCUUCUCCCCCUCCUCGAACUCAUUCAGGCACACCGGGCACUCCACCACGUCGUCGUCCCCCUCCUCGCCGCCCGCUGCGGCGGCGAAAACGAAAACUGGGAGGGAUUUGAGGACAGUGGGGUUGAGACCGCGGUGGUCGGCGGAGGAAGAGGAGGGAAGGGUGCCGUCGACGAAGAAGAUCAGGCGUCGCCUGAGGCGGCGAUGGCGACGUCGGAGGAGGAAAAAUCGCGAGCGGAAGUAGAGGUGGAGGAACAGUAGGAGCAGGACGGCAGCGAAGAGGACGACGGUAGAUGUGAGCAUAACCUUGCCGCUUAGGGCGUAGCCGCGAGGACCCGGGUUCAGAUCACCAUCGGGUUUCGCAUCCAUUACGCUGCUUCACCGCCCGUCCCGACGAAAUGGAG